This 404-nucleotide ribosomal RNA is filed under the name Bacillota bacterium. Its description in RNAcentral is "Firmicutes bacterium partial 16S ribosomal RNA". It matches the Rfam family "Bacterial small subunit ribosomal RNA", at positions 355 to 776 of the family's 1533-position model. The record is from RNAcentral. Lineage: Bacteria; Bacillati; Bacillota.
UGGGGAAUAUUGGACAAUGGGCGCAAGCCUGAUCCAGCCAUGCCGCGUGAGUGAUGAAGGCCUUAGGGUUGUAAAGCUCUUUUGUCCGGGAAGAUAAUGACUGUACCGGAAGAAUAAGCCCCGGCUAACUUCGUGCCAGCAGCCGCGGUAAUACGAAGGGGGCUAGCGUUGCUCGGAAUCACUGGGCGUAAAGGGCGCGUAGGCGGACUUUUAAGUCGGAGGUGAAAGCCCAGGGCUCAACCCUGGAAUUGCCUUCGAUACUGGGAGUCUUGAGUUCGGAAGAGGUUGGUGGAACUGCGAGUGUAGAGGUGAAAUUCGUAGAUAUUCGCAAGGACACCGGUGGCGAAGGCGGCCAACUGGUCCGAAACUGACGCUGAGGCGCGAAAGCGUGGGGAGCAAACAGG